UGGGACAUGAACAGUUGAAAAAAUAAAUAAUUGCUGUUACAAUAUAAGAUGUUUUGGCUGACAUUUAUUUUAAAAGUAUUUUUCCUUAAUGGGAAAAACUUCAGAUGUCAAUUCAGAAAUUUUUUUCUCUUUAAAACUUUUCAAGAGGCAUAGAUGAGCAUUUAUUAUAUGAUUAUGAGAUGUAAUAUUCUGUUUCUUAUGUUACUGACUAGAAGUGUGAAAAAGCAUAUAAUUUUGAAAUAAUUAUGUAUUGUUCAAAUAAUUACAAUGACAAUAUAUUACCAUAUUUUUGUGUACACACUGAAAUAAAAUGUUUGUCUUUUAGGCUUGCAAAGAAGAUAUUAAAUAAAAAAAAUGAGGACAAAGUAGAGAUGGUUGAAGAUGCUAUUGAUGACCUCACUCAGGCACAUGCCACAGGUUCUAUUUGCCUCCAGACAAGUGAGAAAAUAGUUGUUACAACUAGUUUAUCAAUAAAACAUCAAAAAAAGACAAAAUUGGUAAAAACCACAAGAGUACUUGAGAGUUUACAAUACACAGUUAGGGAAACACAGGAAAGAAGAAAAACUCAAUCCCGCUUAAAGCAUGAAUGUGAUAAAGAACACUAUAGAAGCAGAUUGAAAGGCGAAAAACAAAACAGAGAAAAACCACAGUCAGAAAUUAAAAUAAUUUCCUAUAAAAGUCGUGCCAUACAUCAGAAACAUCAGACAUCAAAAAAGAAAAACCAAGAUUAUCUCUUUAUAAAGAACAGAAUUGACACCCUGUCAAAAAGGUAUUCUAAAGCUAAAAAGGAGCUCCGUAAACUACUUCAUGCCCUUAAAGUGAAGACAUUACUUAUUGAAAAAAGACAGAAGCAAAUAAAGCAGGUCAAGGACAAAGUGAAGAAAUAUAGACUCGAAAAUCAUAUACUAAAGGAAAAAUAUAAAAGAGCACUUCUCCAAGAAGAGCUCCUGCAAGAAAAAUUAAACGAAAUGCAGAAGGAAAUUCCCUUGCCUCAACCAUUUGAAAAUGCCCAAAAGAAAGGGGCCUUCAUAAAAGAGGUAUUUCAAAAUAUCGGGAUGCAUUUUAGGGAUCACUCCAUGACUGUUGAUGCUGAUAUUGAAGAACAAGAUCAUGUGGCAAAAGAGAGAAAAGAGCAAAUACAUAUAUAUAAAAAAGAACAGGCAGAAGAUGAGCUGCAUGAAUAUCAACAACGGAUCAAACGGGAAAAGCAGUAUAUUAAAGAUAUAGAAGAUUAUAUACUAAAAUUAAAACAUUCCACAUCUGAAAAUUCAGGAGAGCAAACUGACAAAAAUGAAGAACUUUGGGACACUACCGAUUCCCAUUUUCAACAUAUUCGACACCUUGAAGAAAAAAUAGAAGCAGAAUUUUCAAAAAAUAUUAAGUUGGAAUUACUAUAUAGAAAGCUUCAAGAAGAGGCAAUUGCUCUCCAAGGUCUGCCAAAGGAUGAUGACAACCUGGAACGGAGGAGAAGAGGAAUUUAAAGGAGCAGUUAUUACACUGGAGCAAAAAGAAGAAAAACUUAUAUGACCAAAUGGAGCAUUGACUUCAAGAAAUGGAAGCUGAAUUUGAAAAUAAAACAUCUAAGGCAGAACUAGAGAAAUACAGGGGGCAGAGCCAAGAUGGCAGAGAUUACACAGGUCUUUAUCUGAGCUCACAUCAACACCAGAUCAAAACUCUGAACUGUAACAAAUUUCUAGCGGAAGUUAUUUUGGAAAAAAUUCAGAAAAGGUUUAUUUCAAUCAGGCAUGGGGGUGGAGGGGUGGACUGAGCACAGGCCUAGCGUAGGGACCCAGGGCAGUGUGCCAUUCAUAUCUCAGCCGAGACACAUACAAGACAAAGGUAAAUAGUGUGCCUCUAAACCCCAGAAGAUUAUGGGACCUGACCAUGUCCACCCAACACUGAAAGGAAGUCAGCACCACUGACUAUCCUAAAGCCACUAUCACCUAUACAGGAAGCUGGGUAAAAUCUCCCUGUUGCCCUAAGAGCAGACCUCACCCUUUAAAAAAAUCAGGAAAAAAAGCAAAAAGAAAUCUGAUCAUAUUUAGCUUUUAUGGAGAAAAAAAAGUACAGACCUCUAACCCUGAGGAUCCUAAAGGCAAAUCAUGAAUCCCCAAAAGGUGAUAUAAUUUGGACCCCAUCUCACAAGGCUCUCUUGGAAGAAUUCAAAAAAGAUCUUAAAAGAGAGUUAGGAGGAAAAUGGAGAAAAGAGAACUUUGCGAGAGAGUUUGGAAAAGGAAACACAGAAAUUAUCUGAAGGUAAUUUAAAAAUAGAUUUAGUGAAAUGGAAAAAUCACAUAAUGCUUCAAAUAACUCUUUAUAAAAUACAUUUGAUGAAAUGGAAGAAAGUGCAUAACUCCUUAGAAAAUAGAUUUGAAAAAGAAACCAAUUCAUUGAAAAACAGAAUUUGUGAAAUUGGGAAAAAAUUCAGUGAACAAAAACAUUUAAAAGGUCAGUUGCCCAAAUGCAAAAUGAAAUAAAGAUAACUGAAAAAAAAGAAAAAAUUAGAAUUGAACAAAUGGAAGUGAAUGACAUAGACUUCAAGAAACAGUUAAGCAAAACCCUCAAAAAAUGAAAAAAUAGAAGAAAAUGUAAAAAACUUACAUGGAAAAUAGAUUUAGCAGAAACAGAGACAAUCUAAGGAUUGUUGGACUUCCUAAAAACCAUGAUGAAAAAAAGAGCCUAUCAUCUUUCAGGAAAUCAUUAAACUGCCUUCAUGUCCUAGAACCAGAGAGUAAAAUAGCCAUUGAAAGAAUUCACCUAAAACUUCUCAAAAGGGGCCCCACAAUGAAAACUCCAACAAACUUCAGAAUUAUCAAAUCAAGAAUGAAAUAUUGCAGGCAGCCAAAAAGAAGCACAAGCUAAGAUAGCAGUGACCACACCUCUCUUAGAUCAUAUGAACUGAAAACUUCCAGAACUAGCUCUGAAAAAAGCAGAAUAAAAAACUUGAAUCUUGGGAUAGUGCUGUCUCCAUUGUAGAGCAACAACAAAAAUAAUCUAAACAUAGAAAGUUACUAUGAUCAAAACACAAACAUAGAAAAAGGCAACAAAGUCAAAGUGUUACAUCCAAAACCACAAAGAAAAAUGUAAAUUGGCCUCAGGCCAAUAAAGAAUUUCUGGAGGAGCUCAAAAAAGGAUUUUAAAAUUCAAAUAAGAAUGGUUUUAAAAACUUGGAAAAGAAAUGAAUGAUACAAAAAAAAUUAAGAAAAGUCAACACCUUAGCAAAGGAGACACCAAAAAAUAUUAAAGAAAAUUACCUUAAAAAAAGAAUAGGCCAAAUGGUAAAAGAUACACAAAAAUCCACUGAAGUAUUUAAAAAUAAAAUUGGCCAAAUGGAAAAAAUGUUCAAAAAUUCACCAAAGAAAAUUACUUUAAAAAUAGAUUUGGGCAAAUUAAAGCUGCAUUCAUGAGACAUCAAGAAAAUAAUCAGUAGAAUGAAAAAAAAAUAAAGACAAUGUGAAAUAUCACUGGAAAAACAAUUGGUUUGAAUAAUAGAUUCAAGAGAGGUACAUUAAAAUUAUUGCAACACCUGAAAUCCCUGAUCAAACAGAGCUUAAACAUCUUUUCAAGGAAACUGACCUGAUAUCCGAAAACCAGAGGGUAAAAUAGACAUUGAAAGACUCCACCAAUCAACUCACUCCUGAAACAGAUCCCAAAUUGAAAAUUCCCAGAAAUAUUUAAGCUGAAUCUCAGAUCUUCCCAAGUCAAGAAAAAAAAUAUUGCAAAGAGCCAGAAAUAAACAAUUCUAAUACUGUAGAGUCACAUUCAAAAUAGGGUUUGGAAUAAUACUCCAGAUGGCAAAGGAUUACAAUUAAGAAUCAAUUACCCAGCAAAACUGAGUGAGGGAAAAGGAUAGGGGAUGAGACAGUAAUGAAAUAGAGAAGUUUCAAGUAUCCCUGAUAAGCUCAAAAUGAACAGAAAACUUAUACAAAACUGAAGAGAUGCAUAAAAAGUUAAAGAGAAAUCAUAAAGGAUUCAAUAAAGUUAACUAAGUGUAUUUCUACAUGGGAAGAUGAUACUUGUAACUCUUAAAAAAUCAUUAGGGCAGUUUUAGGAGUCUACAUAGCCAAAGGGCACAGAUGUGAAUUAACUAUAACGGGGAUGAUAUCCCAAGAAAAUUAAAAUAAAAGGUGAGAGAGGUAUGCCUAUUUCAUAGGAGAAAGGGAAAGGAGUAAAAGGAGAGAGAACAGGACAAACAGGGAGAAAGUAGGAUGGAAGUAAUAAGAGUAAUCAAAACUUUGAAUGUAAAUAGGAUAAAUUCACCCAUAAAACAGGAGAUGGAAUGAAUUACAUAAUUUAGACGUAAAAGGUGACCAUGAAGCAUAAAUAAGGAAAUAUGGAACAGUUUACCUUUUUUCUCUAAAGGGAAGAAUUUGUGACCAAGAAACAGAAAUGAAAUCCAAAAUGUAUUGAUUUUGAUUACAUUAAAAUAAUUGUUUGUUUGCACAAACAAAAGCAAGUUAAGAUUGUAAGGAAAGAAGAAAAUUGGGGUGGAAGUUAUAUAACAAUUUUCCCUCAUAAAGGUCUCGUUUUUCAAAUAUAUAAAGAACCAAGUCAAAUUUAUAAGAAUACAAAUCAUUCCCCAAUUGGUAAAUGAUCAAAGAAUAUGAACUAGCAGUUUUCAGAUGAAGAAAUCAAACCUAUCUAAUUAUAUGAAAAAAUGCUCUAAAUCAUCAUUGAUUAGAGAAAAGGAAAAUGAUAAAUACUGGUGAUGUGAGAAAAUUGGAACACUAAUGAAUAGUUGUACCGAGUUGUAAAGUGACCCAAACAUUUUGGAGAGCAAUUUGAAACCAUGUCAAAAGGAGUAUAAAAUUUUGCAUAUUCUUUGAACCAGCAAUACCACUACUAGAUCUGCAUCCAAAAGAGAUAGAAAAGGAAAAGGGCCUAUAUAUUCAAAAAUAUUUAUAGCAGGUCUUUUUGUAGUGGCAAAGAAAUGAAAACUAAGGGAAAGAUCAUCAGGUGAGACAAUAGCUGAACAAGUUGUGAUAUAUGACUGUUAACAGUAUUAUACCAUAAGAACUCAAUAGCAGACUGAUGAAAAUGAAGUCUGAAUACAGAUCAAAGCAUACUUUUUAAAAAAUUAUUUUUCUUAGGGUUUUUUGAGGAGUUUGUGUUUUCUUUCACAAUAUGACUAAGAAAAAUAUUAUACAUCACAAAAAUAUUUUACAUCACUGCACAUGUACUUUACUUAUUUACGUCAAUAAGGGAGAAGAGAACUAGAAACAUUUUAGACAUUAAAAAUUGUUUCUAUACAUAACUAGAAAAAAAAUUUUAAAUGUGCUCAAAAAAAGUAAAAAUUAAAAUCUUAAUAUGGUUCAAAAGAAAAAUAAUAUGAAGACAAUUCCACCUCAAAUGUAGUAAAUUGCAUACAUUUUCAUACUUUUAAAAUGUAUUAUAAUGACUUUUUCUUCUUUAAAAAAAAGCUUUUUUUUUUUUAAAAAAAGCACACAUAUAUUGUAUCUAGGAUAUACUGACAUAUUUAACAUAUAUAAGACUGCUUGCCAUCUGGGGGGGUGGUGGAGGGAAAAAAGGGGAAAAAUCAGAACAGAAGUGAGUUCAAGGGAUGUUGUAAAAAAAUUACCCUGGUAUGGUUAAUGUCAAUAAAAAGUUAUAAUUUUAUAACAUCAUAUGGGAAUGCUCUAUAGGGAGAGACACUAAAGACACUAUAGUAAUGUAAAUAAAUAAAAUAAAUUUUAAAAAAUUUUAAAAGAUCCCAUAGCCAAAACUGUAAAACCAAUUAGAUAUGCUCUGCUAUUCCUUCUGCACAAAUUGUUCAUUUCUCAUAUCUAUGCAUUAUAUGCCAUUUCUGCUAAAAGGAUUCUGCCUCCUCUUGCUAAUAAACUUGCCUUUCAAAAGUCA
Sarcophilus harrisii (Tasmanian devil) is the source of this 5856-nucleotide long non-coding RNA. The record is from Ensembl. Lineage: Eukaryota; Metazoa; Chordata; Mammalia; Dasyuromorphia; Dasyuridae.